GAUUCCUGGAGGGAGAGGGGAACGGACAGCAAACAAUAGACACGAUACGAUCGUGAGGUAUAUAGUUAAUGUUGGUGAUGAGUGCUUCUCAAAGGAAACAACUAAAACCAGACAAGGGAAGUCAGGGAGAAUGGUUUGUAGUAUUGAUGACAAUGGUUAAGGAAGGCCUGAGUUCUGCAAAGACCUCAAGGAUAUGAGGGACUAGAGCGCCCUCUGCUGUGGAAGAGCCUACGUAAAGAUCCUGAGGUGGGAGGGGUCAGGGAGCCAACUCAUUUUACGGUAAGUGGAGGUGGGAUCCAGGGGAGGAUUCUGAGCAGAGGAGGGACGUGGCCCAGUUUGGGCUUUGAAAGGAUCCUGCUUGUCUGUGUGCCAGCAUCCUGGUGGUGGUUGGGGGACUCUGCAUCAAUCCUGGGUGCUAUUACCUGAAAAAUAGUAGGUGUUAGAUGAAAGAACAGAUGUCUGGCCCAUUGUCUCCAGUCUGUUCCUGUCCACAGCUUCCCUUUACACUGAGCCCCUGCCACAUGCAUCAUCAUCCUGGCCAUGUGGCAUUGUCACAGACCGUCUCUCCUGCUAGCCUCCUAACUCAGGGCCUGUGUCUUGCCCAGCAUUAAAUAAAUCAGUCUCAGGCAGACAGCCCUUUAUAUAGAUGUUUGGGCCAGGUGCAGUGGCUCACGCCUGUAAUCCCAGCUCUUUGUGGGGCCAAGGUCUUUGAGCUCAGGAGUUCAAGACCAGCCUGGGCAGCAUGACAAAACCCUGUCUCUACCAAAAAUACAAAAAUUAGCCACGCAUGGUGGCACACACCUGUGGUCCCAGCUACUCGGGAGGCUGAGGUGGGAGGAUCGCUGGAGCCUGGGAAGUUGAGGCUGCAGUGAGCCGUGAUCAUGCCACUGCAUUCCAGCCUGUGUGAUGGAAAGAGACCCUGUCUCAAAAAAAAUAAA
RNAcentral lists this small RNA (938 nucleotides) under Pongo abelii (Sumatran orangutan). Its description in RNAcentral is "sense intronic". Lineage: Eukaryota; Metazoa; Chordata; Mammalia; Primates; Hominidae. The record is from RNAcentral.